This 374-nucleotide long non-coding RNA is filed under the name Mytilus galloprovincialis (Mediterranean mussel). The record is from RNAcentral. Lineage: Eukaryota; Metazoa; Mollusca; Bivalvia; Mytilida; Mytilidae.
UGGUGGAAGGUAUGUUGGUAGUGUAUGAUUGGUUGAAGGUAUGUUGGUAGUGUAUGAUUGGUGGAAGGUAUGUUGGUAGUGUAUGAUUGGUGGAAGGUAUGUGGUGAAGGUAUUGGUAUAUAUUGGUGGAAGGUAUGUUGGUAGUGUAUGAUUGGUGGAAGGUAUGUUGGAAGUGUAUGAUUGGUGGAAGGUAUGUUGGUAGUGUAUGAUUGGUGGAAGGUAUGUUGGUAGUGUAUUAUUGGUGGAAGGUAUGUUGGUAGUGUAUGAUUGGUGGAAGGUAUGUUGGUAGUGUAUGAUUGGUGGAAGGUGUAUGUUGGUAGUGUAUGAUUGGUGGAAGGUAUGUUGGUAGUGUAUGAUUGGUGGAAGGUAUGUUG